This 1479-nucleotide long non-coding RNA is filed under the name Mytilus galloprovincialis (Mediterranean mussel). The record is from RNAcentral. Lineage: Eukaryota; Metazoa; Mollusca; Bivalvia; Mytilida; Mytilidae.
UUGACUUAAUGAAAUAAUAUAUUUAUUGAUAAAAUAUUUGAGCACUAAUGGAAUCCAUUAUAUAUAGUUUGAUUAACAAGAAAUGAUCAGUGAAAAAAAAAUCAAAACAAUAUUAAAACAUGUGCAUCAAAUAUAAGUCCAAAUACUUUCUACAUUUCCAGGCGGUACAAGACAAAAUCCUGUGGAUAAAAGAUUACUUUCACCUUUGUACCAUUCAAUAGCCUCUCUUUCAAAUAUACAUACACAAGAUAACAUUAAGGUAAGUCAACGUUAAAAAAUACUUUUGUAUUAUGUUAAACAAUUUUUUUACUACGAAUAAAUAUAAAAUCCCACUUUAAAUGUUGUUUGUCAAAGGCCCUGUUCUUGAUAUACACUUUUCAAGAAUGCUAAACACAUUUAAAAGUCCAUAGGUCUAUGACAAAAAAAGACAUAAAUCAGAAGCUUAAAUUAUUGCAGUUAAAUUUUGCCUGAGAGAUUACGAAAAUUACUUUUGACAAUUUUAUAAUCUAAUAACGAACAAUCUAGGAAUAGCUGAAAUGCAUGAAAAAGUGAUAAAGCAAUCUGUGCUUUUACUUGAAUUUGCAGCCGUACUUUGAAGACGAAAAACGUCUAGCGUAAACCUGCUAUUUUCGGUCAGUUUAUUUGAUUUAUGCAUUAAACGGUAUACAAUACUACGCAAUAGUAUGAAGUACUGCAGCAUGCUUGUCCAUUUUAAUUUUAGCACUUUAAUUGUUGCAGAUGUUUGUCAAUAACAUUAUUAGUAAAUAUCACUCUGGUAUCUUUAAUCACGUUUCUUCUCUUUUUCAUCACUUUAAAUUUAAUUUUAGUUGAAUGUUUCGACCAAAGACACAAAUAUUAUAAACGGAGACCUCACAGAAAAAGACAAUAACGGCUUUGUCAAUAGUCGACUUUAGGGUAGAUUGUGUGACUGUUCCUCACAUUAUCAUAUCGCAGUUUCCAAAACAAUAAUUACAUACAUGAUAUUGAGCUUAUCCAGAAACGCUAUGAUAACACAACAAUGUAUUGAAAGCUUAUCAGGCUUAAGACAGAACUGUCCGUAUUUCAAAAUGUUAGACACGGUGCACUGAACCCCAAUUUAUAGAAACAAUUUGGCUUGUAAAAUUUCAAUAUCAAUAUGGAUUUAAAAACAGUUACAAAGAAAUAAUCAGAAAUUAAAUAUACAUUAACUUUUUAAAUAAUCACAUUGACUUUAAAAACAAUAAGAAACUAGAGGCUCCCAGGAUCAUUCUGUUGUUAAUAGUUUCUCUCUAUGUACUAUAGUGAUGAAAAACACAAACUGGAUAUCUUCCAAUAUCUUCUGUAAGGACUUAUGUUUCAUAUUUGUAGAUCUUGUUUAUCUUGGUCUCUUUUGUUAUUCACUUUUUUCUCAGAGAUGUAUAUAGUUUUACAUGUCAAUGUGACGGAGUGUUUUUGAAAUAAAGCAUAGUGUAUUAUAUAUAUUGUUUAGUCCAAAACUAU